GGUUAAGCGAAUAAGCGUACACGGUGGAUGCCUAGGCAAUCAGAGGCGAUGAAGGACGUGCUAAUCUGCGAAAAGCGUCGGUAAGGUGAUAUGAACCGUUAUACCCGACGAUAUCCGAAUGGGGAAACCCAGUAUCCAAUGGAUACUAUCAUUAACUGAAUCCAUAGGUUAAUGAGGCGAACCGGGAGAACUGAAACAUCUCAGUACCCCGAGGAAAAGAAAUCAACCGAGAUUCCCCUAGUAGCGGCGAGCGAACGGGGAGCAGCCCAGAGUCUUAAUCAAUAGCAGUGUCAGGAGAACGGUCUGGAAAGUCCGGCAGUAAAGGGUGAUAGCCCCGUAUCUGAAGAUGCUGUUAUUGUGAACUCGACGAGUAGGGCGGGACACGUGUUAUCCUGUCUGAAUAUGGGGGGACCAUCCUCCAAGGCUAAAUACUCCUGAUUGACCGAUAGUGAACCAGUACCGUGAGGGAAAGGCGAAAAGAACCCCGGCGAGGGGAGUGAAAAAGAACCUGAAACCGUGUACGUACAAGCAGUAGGAGCCUCUUUAUGGGGUGACUGCGUACCUUUUGUAUAAUGGGUCAGCGACUUAUAUUCUGUAGCAAGGUUAACCGUAUAGGGGAGCCGUAGGGAAACCGAGUCUUAACUGGGCGAAUGAGUUGCAGGGUAUAGACCCGAAACCCGGUGAUCUAUCCAUGGGCAGGUUGAAGGUUGGGUAACACUAACUGGAGGACCGAACCGACUAAUGUUGAAAAAUUAGCGGAUGACUUGUGGAUGGGGGUGAAAGGCCAAUCAAACCGGGAGAUAGCUGGUUCUCCCCGAAAGCUAUUUAGGUAGCGCCUCGUGAACUCAUCUUCGGGGGUAGAGCACUGUUUCGACUAGGGGGUCAUCCCGACUUACCAACUCGAUGCAAACUGCGAAUACCGAAGAAUGUUAUCACGGGAGACACACGGCGGGUGCUAACGUCCGUCGUGAAGAGGGAAACAACCCAGACCGCCAGCUAAGGUCCCAAAGUCAUGGUUAAGUGGGAAACGAAGUGGGAAGGCUCAGACAGCCAGGAUGUUGGCUUAGAAGCAGCCAUCAUUUAAAGAAAGCGUAAUAGCUCACUGGUCGAGUCGGCCCGCGCGGAAGAUGUAACGGGGCUAAACCAUGCACCGAAGCUGCGGCAGCGACACAAAGUGUUGUUGGGUAGGGGAGCGUUCUGUAAGCCUGCGAAGGUGUACUGUGAGGUAUGCUGGAGGUAUCAGAAGUGCGAAUGCUGACAUAAGUAACGAUAAUGCGGGUGAAAAACCCGCACGCCGGAAGACCAAGGGUUCCUGUCCAACGUUAAUCGGGGCAGGGUGAGUCGACCCCUAAGGCGAGGCUGAAAAGCGUAGUCGAUGGGAAACGGGUUAAUAUUCCCGUACUGGUGGUAACUGCGAUGGGGGAACGGAGAAGGCUAGGUUGUCCGGGCGACGGUCGUCCCGGUUCAAGCAGGUAGGCAGAGUGAUUAGGCAAAUCCGGUCACUUAAUGCUGAGAUGUGAUGACGAACCACCAAGGUGGUGAAGCAAUUGAUGCCCCGCUUCCAGGAAAAGCCUCUAAGCUUCAGGUUACCAACAAUCGUACCCCAAACCGACACAGGUGGUCAGGUAGAGAAUACUCAGGCGCUUGAGAGAACUCGGGUGAAGGAACUAGGCAAAAUGGUGCCGUAACUUCGGGAGAAGGCACGCUGGCGGUAGGUAAAGUCCCUUGCGGACGGCGCUGAAGCCAGUCGAAGAUACCAGCUGGCUGCAACUGUUUAUUAAAAACACAGCACUGUGCAAACACGAAAGUGGACGUAUACGGUGUGACGCCUGCCCGGUGCUGGAAGGUUAAUUGAUGGGGUCAGCCGUAAGGCGAAGCUCCUGAUCGAAGCCCCAGUAAACGGCGGCCGUAACUAUAACGGUCCUAAGGUAGCGAAAUUCCUUGUCGGGUAAGUUCCGACCUGCACGAAUGGCGUAAUGAUGGCCAGGCUGUCUCCACCCGAGACUCAGUGAAAUUGAACUCGCUGUGAAGAUGCAGUGUACCCGCGGCAAGACGGAAAGACCCCGUGAACCUUUACUAUAGCUUGACACUGAACAUUGAGCCUUGAUGUGUAGGAUAGGUGGGAGGCUUUGAAGUGUGGACGCCAGUCUGCAUGGAGCCAACCUUGAAAUACCACCCUUUAACGUUUGAUGUUCUAACCUAGGCCCAUAAACUGGGUCGGGGACCGUGUCUGGUGGGUAGUUUGACUGGGGCGGUCUCCUCCUAAAGAGUAACGGAGGAGCACGAAGGUUGGCUAAGCAUGGUCGGACAUCAUGCGGUUAGUGCAAAGGCAUAAGCCAGCUUGACUGCGAGAGUGACGGCUCGAGCAGGUACGAAAGUAGGUCUUAGUGAUCCGGUGGUUCUGAAUGGAAGGGCCAUCGCUCAACGGAUAAAAGGUACUCCGGGGAUAACAGGCUGAUACCGCCCAAGAGUUCAUAUCGACGGCGGUGUUUGGCACCUCGAUGUCGGCUCAUCACAUCCUGGGGCUGAAGUAGGUCCCAAGGGUAUGGCUGUUCGCCAUUUAAAGUGGUACGCGAGCUGGGUUUAGAACGUCGUGAGACAGUUCGGUCCCUAUCUGCCGUGGGCGUUGGAAGAUUGAGAGGGGUUGCUCCUAGUACGAGAGGACCGGAGUGAACGCACCACUGGUGUUCGGGUUGUCAUGCCAAUGGCAUUGCCCGGUAGCUAAGUGCGGAAGAGAUAACCGCUGAAAGCAUCUAAGCGGGAAACUUGCCUCGAGAUGAGUCUUCCCUGUCGCUUUAAGCGACCUAAAGGAACGUUUAAGACUAAGACGUUGAUAGGCUGGGUGUGUAAGCGUAGCGAUACGUUGAGCUAACCAGUACUAAUGAACCGUGAGGCUUAACCUG
Molecule: ribosomal RNA, 2903 nt
Filed under: Proteus mirabilis
Lineage: Bacteria; Pseudomonadati; Pseudomonadota; Gammaproteobacteria; Enterobacterales; Morganellaceae
Description: 23S ribosomal RNA
Rfam family: Bacterial large subunit ribosomal RNA
Source: RNAcentral